GGGGUAGUGGCCUACCAAGCGGCGACGGGUAGCCGGCCUGAGAGGGCGUCCGGCCCACUGGGACUGAGACACGGCCCAGACUCCUACGGGAGGCAGCAGUGGGGAAUAUUGCGCAAUGGGCGGAAGCCUGACGCAGCGACGCCGCGUGAGGGAUGACGGCCUUCGGGUUGUAAACCUCUUUCAGCAGGGAAGAAGCGCAAGUGGCGGUACCUGCAGAAGAAGCGCCGGCUAACUACGUGCCAGCAGCCGCGGUAAUACGGAGGGCGCAAGCGUUGUCCGGAAUUACUGGGCGUAAAGGGGGCGCAGGCGGCUCAGUAAGUCCUGUGUGAAAGCCCGCGGCUCAACCGCGGAAAGCCAUAGGAUACUGCUAAGCUAGAGACGGGUAGAGGCGAGUGGAAUUCCCGGUGUAGCGGUGGAAUGCGCAGAUAUCGGGAGGAACACCGGUGGCGAAGGCGGCUCUCUGGGCCUGUCCUGACGCUGAGGCGCGAAAGCUAGGGGAGCGAACAGGAUUAGAUACCCUGGUAGUCCUAGCCGUAAACGAUGGGCGCUAG
RNAcentral lists this ribosomal RNA (551 nucleotides) under uncultured Actinomycetes bacterium. Its description in RNAcentral is "bacterial SSU rRNA". It matches the Rfam family "Bacterial small subunit ribosomal RNA", at positions 254 to 819 of the family's 1533-position model. The record is from RNAcentral. Lineage: Bacteria; Bacillati; Actinomycetota; Actinomycetes.